This is a non-coding RNA of Momordica charantia (bitter melon), 772 nucleotides long. Lineage: Eukaryota; Viridiplantae; Streptophyta; Magnoliopsida; Cucurbitales; Cucurbitaceae. The record is from RefSeq and is a predicted model, not a curated record.
AAGCCUUUCUUGAAGGAGUCCCUAAGGAGGUUGAGGCGAGAAUAGAGGUCAAGAAAACAAAAGAAAAGCUGAAAAGAGAAGGAAAUGAUAAUAAAUAAGAGGUUAUUUGUACUGAUCCAACAACAAGCAUGAGUGUUUGGAAUGAAGUAUCAAUGUCAACCGAGAAACCAACAAGAAUUCAACCCUUAUUUAAAUCUACACAAUCAAGAUUGGAGGGCUCAUUCAAAUUUCUUUUGGCGAGAGCAUCGACCUUAAUGUAUCCAUCCACAUGAGCAUGUAUUCCCAUUAGAAUUCUCGAUACAGCCUCAGGAAGAGUACAAUCAACCAUGGGUGCAAGAGCAAAAUACCAUCUACGAAAAUUUCUAGCCUUCAAGAGAAGAUGAUAGUGACGGGAUGUGAAUCCCGGAGCGGAAGCGGAUCAUCGUUCAUGAUUUUUGAGAAACAAAAUCAAACAUCUAAUAACGAAAAUACAAGGGAAAGAACUUUUCUUACCUUUGAAGAACUCUUCUUCAAGUUAAUUUCCACCCGAACACCACCACCGAAUCUUCUGAGCUAUCCUUUUGGGUCUCAAGAACACGCUUGUUGGAGCGUUUCUUUGGAACGAGAGGGACAAUUGAGAGAGUGUGAGAUGGAGAGAGUAUGCUGGGUUUUUCUUGUAGAGGAAGAAAGAAAUGUACAAAACUAUUCUAUACAGUUUAAGCAAAUGUGACGUGGGGUAACUUCCCACCAACUUCCCACUCCCCUACAAUUUUGCAGGGGAGUUUUUAAUUAA